AUGAAUCUAAGCAACGCUCUAAACACGUUUGCUCCCAUGUCUUUGAUAUGUAAGACACCGGAUGUAGUAGUGCCCUCCUUCAUGGGGCCAAAGAGAUGUGCCAUGAAGACUUUGGACCGGGCUGCAAGCACACACCGAUGUGCAGUGAACGUCUCGCCGCUAACUUCAAAUGUCACAUCAGCACCCACUUUAGUUUGA
Molecule: ribosomal RNA, 198 nt
Filed under: Triticum aestivum (bread wheat)
Lineage: Eukaryota; Viridiplantae; Streptophyta; Magnoliopsida; Poales; Poaceae
Description: partial small subunit ribosomal RNA
Source: RNAcentral